AGGAAUAUUGGACAAUGGAGGCAACUCUGAUCCAGCCAUGCCGCGUGAAGGAAUAAGGCCCUACGGGUUGUAAACUUCUUUUAGACGGGACAAAACCCCUUUACGGGUAAAGGGUUGAUGGUACUGUCAGAAUAAGCAUCGGCUAACUUCGUGCCAGCAGCCGCGGUAAUACGAAGGAUGCAAGCGUUAUCCGGAAUUAUUGGGUUUAAAGGGUGCGUAGGCGGACUAAUAAGUCAGUGGUGAAAGCCUGCAGCUUAACUGCAGAAUUGACAUUGAUACUGUUAGUCUUGAGUACAGUUGAGGUAGGCGGAAUGUGUCAUGUAGCGGUGAAAUGCUUAGAUAUGACACAGAACACCGAUUGCGAAGGCAGCUUGCUAAGCUGUAACUGACGCUGAGGCACGAAAGCGUGGGGAGCAAACA
RNAcentral lists this ribosomal RNA (420 nucleotides) under uncultured bacterium. RNAcentral describes it as "bacterial SSU rRNA". It matches the Rfam family "Bacterial small subunit ribosomal RNA", at positions 357 to 774 of the family's 1533-position model. The record is from RNAcentral.